AGAUGAUAGUAAAAAUAAAGUAAAAGAAGUGAAAGCGAAGGUACCUUGACAAUAUGUAAGGUUUGAAGACAGCGAUCCCUUUCUACUCUAAAAUUUUCCAAAAUUUGUAAUCGACUUCAAUUUGAAUGAUUAUUAGCUUGUUGCAAGGCUAACUUGAAGAUGCUUUUGAUCCAACAAUCUUCAUUGCAAUCUAAUGAUUCAGUGU
This 205-nucleotide long non-coding RNA is filed under the name Physcomitrium patens. Its description in RNAcentral is "long non-coding RNA (PPAT_LNC011240)". The record is from RNAcentral. Lineage: Eukaryota; Viridiplantae; Streptophyta; Bryopsida; Funariales; Funariaceae.